Molecule: long non-coding RNA, 2371 nt
Organism: Parus major (Great Tit)
Lineage: Eukaryota; Metazoa; Chordata; Aves; Passeriformes; Paridae
Exons: 6
Source: RefSeq, a predicted model, not a curated record
AAGGAGGUGGCACUUGGGGACAAGGGGUGGGGACAGGCUGGACUCGAUGACUUUGGAGUUUUUUGUGGUUCCGUGGUGCUGAGAGAGAGUCAGGGGAAUUUCUGCCUCUUCGCCAAAUGGAUUUCUCCUGUCUGUGAAAAGUGGAAAAUGAUUUUUUUCAUAUUUUUUUUCAUCAAAAGCAUUAGGCUCACCUGUUGUUCACGGGGAAAUUAAUGAAAUUAUUGUGUUUUAGCUGAUUUCUGAGUGCCCUGUCUUUGCAGAGGGGUGGGCUCCCUGCUGGACCCGGUUUGUGUGAAAGAAUUUCUUCCCUGGCCUCCAAUUAAAAUUUCAGCCAGCACUGCGAGGGUGUCAAACGCUGCACAAGGGGAUUUGUGAUCACAGCUUGUCAACACAGAGUGCUUUAGUCUGAAUAACCCCCCUGCUCUUUGCACAGGGUGAAAAGUGAUAUUUAGAGGAGGCUCUGGAGGAGUGCAGUGCCUCCAAAAUCAAGAGGCAGAGCCUGCAGGGACUGGGCUCUGCUUUGCUGCAGCUGCCUGGAAGAAAAGAUGCUCCACACCAUGAAGCUGAUGGCUUUUCUCUUCCUUCUUUCCUCUGAAUUUGGAGCAGUAUUUUGAAAAGGGCUGAGACAACACCUUAGAUCCAGGCUUGUGUCUUCCAGCAGAGUUUUCAGUAUGGUUGGUGCAUAUGGGUAAAAAGGAGGGGUUCUGCUGAUCAGUUUCCAAAUGGAAUUUUACAACCUUCUUUGGCAAGAGAAGACAACCACGUGCUGAAACCAGUUCAGGGCAGAUUAGGUACAUUGAGCCAUCCCCAGUGUGAGCUUCCAGUUAAAUCUGAUUUAAGAGGAUUGCCACAAUGACCUGACUAAGCAGAGGCAUACCUGAGGCUGAGUUUUAGCUUUCCCUGGGCCUGACUGAAAGCCUGUGAAAAUCAGGAAAUAUCUGCUAUUUCCACUGUAUCUUUACUGCCUGCAAUCAGAUCCACAGAAAGCAGAGAAAAAUCUGCACAUUUUCAUUGCAAUCUUUGUUGUCCUACCCCACACAACUAUCAGCUAUUUGCAGAGGUGAUGACUUUUGGUGUGGUAGGUGGAUAAGGAAGAUGAGGAAGAAAAUGAUUCUUGACUAGCUGAAGUCUUUCUUGACCUCGAGAUCCAUGAUGCUACAGCUCUGCCUCUAGCUUCCACUCAAAACAUUUUCCUUUUACACAGGAGAGUCCCCCUCAAAAAUAUUCAAAUUGAGUUUCAGGGGAGGGUUGAUUUUAGACGAGCAGGGAUGUUUGGCUAGGAACACAAACAUUUUCCUUGCCACUUAAAACUUUGUGUCAUAGCAUCAUGUUUUCCUGUUGAUUUCUUCUUUUACUUAAUGCUCUGAAUUACAAACUGUUGUGAAGAUUACAAGCAAACAGGAUGAUUUGUUACCUGUGAUUUUUAUUGAGCAUCAGUGUUCUGUGGGAGGUGCAGCCUGGAACUGCUCUGAGGAAAAACCCAACGCUGAACAAAGUGUUUGGUUUGCUAAUGGCAAGGUACAGAACAUUUCUGUGUCUUGUGGGCUUGAUAAUUCCACCUAAAUACAAGACUGCAGUCUGGUGACCUCGUGUAGGGUUCUGCCUGUAGCUCCCACAGCUCUGUGUGGCUUUUUCUUGUUCUAUGUCCCACGAGAGUUAUCUUGAACUCUUAUUCAGGGACUGAAUUGGAGAUUUCUGGUUGUACCUGAACCCAAGUGUGGCUGUUUGUGACACAGCAGCACUUGUCUGGGCUGGUUGAUAUUAAAAUCCAUUCUCAUCAUUGUCUCAGUUUUAUAUUCCCUGCAACCUUCCAGGGUCCUGCAAGCUGAAAAAAAAAUGUCAGUAGAAGACAGUAGAGCUCUCUGGCUUGUCAGAGUGAUUCAUGAAAGGAGACAUCCUUUCAGCUGGUUCUAUUCCAUUCCUACAUCUCUAAAUCUGUGUGCUGUACUGCUUAUACUGGUGUUAAAUGUCACUUAGCCUUAAAACAAAAUCAGUUCUUCUGGUAAAUAACUGAUCUGGUUAUUGCUUAAUUGGAUGUCUUGUAGCACACAACUUUUAAUUGUUUAUUUUUUUUUUAAUUUUUUUCAAUUUUUGUACUAAAAGCCUCUGCAAUUAAAUUCAAAGUGCUGAUCUGCACAAACUUGGAACUGCCUACAGUUUUUAUUGUAAAUACUUGUUGGAUAAAACCUUUUCCCUGUUAAUGAAGGUAGAUAGGAGGUAAAACAGUUGUCACAGUUCAACAGGCAGAGAAAAAUUGUUUGUUUUUCUGUUUUUCUUCCCGUUUCUGCUUUCAUUAAAGCAAUGCUCUCACUGGAAUAUCUAAGUAGCUGCAAUGCUUGCCAGAGGAAUAUUACUUCUUUAUUACAGUGUA